This 579-nucleotide ribosomal RNA is filed under the name uncultured Campylobacterota bacterium. RNAcentral's name for it is "bacterial SSU rRNA". It matches the Rfam family "Bacterial small subunit ribosomal RNA", at positions 45 to 635 of the family's 1533-position model. Lineage: Bacteria; Pseudomonadati; Campylobacterota. The record is from RNAcentral.
UGCUUACACAUGCAAGUCGAACGAGACGGGUAUUAGCUUGCUAAUACUGUCAGCUAAGUGGCGAACGGGUGAGUAAUAUAUAGGUAAUGUGCCUUGAAGAAGGGGAUAACAGUUGGAAACGACUGCUAAGACCCUAUAUGCCUUUAAAACAAAAGUUUGCAAGGGAAAUAUUUAUAGCUUCAAGAUCGGCCUGUACAGUAUCAGUUAGUUGGUGAGGUAAUGGCUCACCAAGACAAUGACGCUUAACUGGUUUGAGAGGAUGAUCAGUCACACUGGAACUGAAACACGGUCCAGACUCCUACGGGAGGCAGCAGUGGGGAAUAUUGCACAAUGGGGGAAACCCUGAUGCAGCAACGCCGCGUGGAGGAUGACACAUUUCGGUGUCGUAAACUCCUUUUAUAUAGGAAGAUAAUGACCGGUACUAUAUGAAUAAGCGCCGGCUAACUCCGUGCCAGCAGCCCGCGGUAAUACGGAGGGCGCAAGCGUUACUCGGAAUCACUGGGCGUAAAGAGCGUGUAGGCGGAUAGAUAAGUUGGGAGUGAAAUUCCUAUGGCUCACCAUAGAACUGCUUCCAAACUG